CAAAUUACAAUCCAAGGAAGUUGACAUGUCAUCACUUCAUUUUUUUGCGCCUGCGCAUAAAUCUGAGAAACGUGAGUUUUGUCUUCAUUGUUUAUCUCGACAUAGGAUAGGUUGUGUGAAAAUAUUACUGAUGUUUAACGUUAAAAAUGGACCAAAAGAUUAAUGCUAAACAACAUUUGACAUGUUUGAACGAACAUAAAUAGAUUAUUUACUAGGUUUUUUUAGCUUUUCGGCGUGAUUUUACAGUCCCCCACCACGUUUUGUGGGAGCAUAAUGAACGCUAAGUACUUGGUGUUAUUUGGACAUAAAUUAUGAACUUUGUAUAAAGAAACCACAUUUGUUCCGGACCUGUGAUGCCUUCCGGACCUGGGAUGCCAGUCUUCUGAUGGAGAUAAUCAAAGGUUGCAGCCCACACUUAAAGACAGCGUUCAAGUCACAAAUGGCCCCUGAUAUUGUAGCUUCCCAUGCCACUGGCGGGGACCAACAGAUGAUAAGAGACGGACCGAGACAAUCAUUGGAUUGACAGCCAUCACCAGCGAAGGAUCUCUUGGGUCCACUUCCAGCACUCACUGGGGUCCACUUAAAGACAGGCUCCGUAUGGACAGACAGCACUGUGGAGCCUAUCCCAGGCCAGCGGUAAUGCUAGCAAGCUGACUGACCCUCAGAGCACUUAGCUACAGACAGUUCAAAGAUUGGUCUCAUGCUUUAGCAGCUAGAAGAGGGUCUCAAAGGACUGUAACGAGCUGGGUCUGGACUUUGGUUAGUUUGUUUGCUUGUGUUUUCAAUCAGGUGGAUUACCUGCCAUGAAAUGCUCAAUAACAAAAGUACUGUACGCUGCCAGGAAGCACCCAGAAAAAUCUCAUUUUUAAGUCCUUACUCCAUUUUUAAUCUGUUUGUUUUGAUCUUAUACACAUGGUGGUUCACAGUAACUUUUUGUCACCCUAUUGAUGUUUUUAUCUAAUGUAUUACUUGUAUGCUGGAUUGUCCUUUAUACUCAAAUACACCCAAAUGUUUUCCUCAAGUAAUUAGUAUUAUUUUUAAUGAGUUAGGGAGCUCUGGGCCUUCUGUUUUUAUCAAUGGGGAAGUUGAGGUUGAUGAUUACCAGGCUAUUAGUAUGUUAGUUUACUACCAUGAGAUACUUCAGUAGGUUUUAUAUUUCCACCCACGGCAUUGUGAGCCUCUUCUGUGUGUGGUGGGAGGAGAGCGGUAAUAAUGGCAGGAAACAAUGACUCUCUACAGUGACAUGUUCAAGGUAAAUAAACACAGAGCUGGAGCGAGAGAGAGCGGGAGAGCCACCUGUUCAGUGAUGGAUAGUCCCUUGAACAACAACACACUACCCGAGGUCAACACUCUCUCUCUCUCUAUCUUUCUCUUUCCCCAUCUCUCUCUCUUUCUCUCCCCAUCUCUCUCUCUCUCUGUCCAUGUGUUCCUUUGUUCCUCAUCCAGAUCCUCAUCCAUGAUGUAUCAUCUCCCAGUUUCCAAACCCAACUCCCAUAGUUUCCCUCCUUCCCUGCCUCCCUUCCUUCGUCUUUCCUAUAGCCUCUAUCUCCUUUCCUCCCUACUUCCCUUCCUGCCUACCUCCCAAAGCUUUCCUUCGCUCCCUCCCUUGCUCCAUCCCGCCCUCUCUGCAUGCCUGCCUGGCGCUCUCCUCUCAAAGCUGUCGUCUCUGCUCUGCUCUGACACUGUCACACAUGUUCUUGUGUGUUUGUCUCCGUCUCUGAGGGGAAAGAUUCAGAAUCUAAUUACCAGGUUGUUUUGUAAUUAAUUUGCAGUAAACACCUAACUCAAUUAGGCAGCAAGUAUGAUUCUCCUCUCUCCUUCACCCACCAAGAUGGUGAUGAUGUUUGGAGCACUCCAACGACUUUCUCACCAGCCAAACUGUAAGGGCGAGGACCCUGGUCUUUUUCCUCUCCCUGCACAAUUAAUGCUUCGUAUUAAUUGUUGUUUCUGUUUAGUUAUGAGUGAAUACAAUUAUGUAAAGAUACUGUAGGACCAACUCUAAUGAUAACAGCAUUUCUAUUUAAUUGUGAAUAGGGAGAUUGAAGCCAGAUUCUAUUCAAGCAUUUUGUUUUAUAAUGAACACCCUCAAAGAUUUUACCAGUGAAAUACUUUUGCUGUGCUGUGAAACUGGUUAUGUUGGAAUUAUGGAAAUAAUUGCUCACCCCAAGAAAUCCCUUAAAAAUGUUCAGUGUACGAUAACAGACUUUUCGGGACCUAGUAGAACAUAUAAAUGUCAUAAGAGACAUGUCAAGUUUUCUGUAAGGCGCUAGUACAUAAGGGGCAUCUGCCAAGAGAUAGCAGUGAAUAUGCCAUCUCAUGUCAUAUGAUCCUAGUGGAGAUGUAAAUCUGCCAGGGGUUUCGAGGGAAAAUCCCUUAUAAUCUUCCUCUCACUGUGUGAAUGUCACUAAUACUGCAAAUGCUUAUACUGCACAAUUUAAACACGCUCCCCAAUCCCCCUUCCCUGAUACAUGUGUAAAUAUUGGACUAUAAAUUAUGCCUUCUUGUAUUAGACUUAUGUAUUAGAUUAUUCUAUUCUACUGAGCCAUCUACUUUAUGUUCAUAUUCUUAUAUUUUGUUAUUUCUUAUUGUUGCAUUGUCGAGAAGGAACCUGCAAGUAAGCAUUUCAUUGGACGAUGUAUACCAUAUGUAUCCUGUACUUACGACUAAUAAAACCUGAAACUUGGCAUGUUGUUUGAUGGCAAGAUAUGACAUAGACAAUUCAGACAGUUGUACCUCCAGGAGUUCCACACACUGCGUCUUGAGACUCGUCUGAAGUCGGUACAGCCCAUCUGCCAACUUCUGUCUGUAGCGUUCCGAACCAUUUGGGCUACACACUAAUAGGAC
Molecule: long non-coding RNA, 2844 nt
Filed under: Salmo salar (Atlantic salmon)
Lineage: Eukaryota; Metazoa; Chordata; Actinopteri; Salmoniformes; Salmonidae
Description: lncRNA (ENSSSAG00000091133.1)
Source: RNAcentral